AGUCCAUGAUGAGGACACAACAGUAAUAAUUCUUUGAAUCUAUCCCAUGUGGCAGAUAAAGACUCUCCAUUUUUUGGAGCAAAAUUAGUGAUUUGAUUUCUAAGCU
This is a small nucleolar RNA of Dioscorea cayenensis subsp. rotundata (Guinea yam), 106 nucleotides long. The record is from RefSeq and is a predicted model, not a curated record. NCBI's taxonomy places the organism in Eukaryota, Viridiplantae, Streptophyta, Magnoliopsida, Dioscoreales, Dioscoreaceae.